UCCAUUUUAGAAUGGCAGUACUAUUAUAAGAAAAUAAUAGGAGGGGUUUCGCUCGUUAGAGAAAUGAAUCCAACAUCAUGAAACACGAGCUGACGGCAGCCAUGCAGCAUCGGAUCUAGAAUGGAGAGAAAUCUCCGAGUGUCUAGAACCAGGCUAGGUAAGGUUCCUCGCGGAGUGUCGAAUUAAACCACAUGCUCCUCCGGAUGGACUUUAGGAACCGUCAAAUAUUUUGAAUUUUAAUCUUGCGAUCGUAGUACUCAGGCGGAACACUUAACGAGUUAUCUACAACACAAAGCUAAGCCUUGUAUUUAGUGUUCACCGUUUACUGCUUGGACUAC
Molecule: unclassified non-coding RNA, 338 nt
Filed under: uncultured bacterium
Lineage: Bacteria
Description: contains 16S-23S intergenic spacer region
Source: RNAcentral